CGGGGUGCAGCAGGCGCGAAAACUUUGCAAUGCGGGAAACCGUGACAAGGGAACUCUGAGUGCCCGUUAAAUCGGGCUGUCCAUCGGUUUAAAUAACCGGUGAAGAAAGGGCCGGGCAAGACCGGUGCCAGCCGCCGCGGUAAUACCGGCGGCUCGAGUGGUGGCCACUAUUACUGGGCUUAAAGCGUUCGUAGCUGGUUUGUUAAGUCUCUGGGGAAAUCUUCCGGCUUAACCGGAAGGCGUCUCAGGGAUACUGGCAGACUAGGGACCGGGAGAGGUGAGAGGUACUCCAGGGGUAGGAGUGAAAUCCUGUAAUCCUUGGGGGACCACCUGUGGCGAAGGCGUCUCACCAGAACGGCUCCGACAGUGAGGGACGAAAGCUGGGGGAGCAAACCGGAUUAGAUACCCGGGUAGUCCCAGCCGUAAACGAUGCGCGUUAGGUGUAUCGGUGACCACGAGUCACCGAGGUGCCGAAGAGAAGUCGUGAAACGUGCCGCCUGGGAAGUACGGUCGCAAGGCUGAAACUUAAA
This 530-nucleotide ribosomal RNA is filed under the name uncultured archaeon. RNAcentral's name for it is "bacterial SSU rRNA". It matches the Rfam family "Archaeal small subunit ribosomal RNA", at positions 326 to 860 of the family's 1478-position model. The record is from RNAcentral.